GGCAGUGCCGGUGACAUAUCAAUUAGAUGUCCGCCCCAUCAAUUGUUGACGGUAAGGUAGUGGCUUACCGUGGUUACAACGGGUAACGGGGAAUCAGGGUUCGAUUCCGGAGAGGGAGCAUGAGAAAUGGCUGCCAGAUCUAUGGAUUGCAGCAGGUGCGAAAAUUAUCCACUUUUGGCAUAAAGAGAUAGUGAUGAUAAAUAACGGAUCUGGGCAUUUGUUCAGAGAUCGUAAUGAAAUAAUCGUAAAAGCUUUAAUGAACGCAAUUGGAGGGCAAGUCUGGUGCCAGCAGCCGCGGCAAUUCCAGUUCCAAUAGUGUAUACUAAAGUUGCUGCAGUUGAAAAGCUCGUAGUUGGAUCUCGGCUUGCUAGCGCGCGAGGCGUGUGAGUAGGCCUUUGCUGUAGUUGAGUGCUACGGCUUUACCUUGAACAAAAUAGAGUGCUUAAGGCAAGCAUUCUGCUUGAAUAUCUCAGCAUGGAAUAAUAGAAAAAGACUUUUCUGUUGGUUUACCAGUAGUAAAAGUAAUGAUUAACAGAGACAGACGGGGGCAUUCGUAUCGCACCGCUAGAGGUGAAAUUCGUAGAUCGGUGCGGGACGAACUACAGCGAAAGCAUUUGCCAAGGAUGUUUUCAUUAAUCAAGAACGAAAGUUGGAGUAUCGAAGUCGAUUAGAUCUCGUCGUAGUUCCAACUAUAAACGAUGCCAACUAGCACUCCGCUAAUAAGUAUUAGUACGUUAGCGGGUUGCUUCCGGGAAACCAAAGUCUUUGGGCUCCGGGGGAAGUAUGGUUGCAAAGCUGAAACUUAAAGGAAUUGACGGAAGGGCACCACCAGGAGUGGAGCCUGCGGCUCAAUUUGACUCAACACAGAAAAACUCACCCGGGCCGAACACAGUAAGGAUUGACAGACUGAUAGCUUUUUCUUGAUACUGUGGGUAGUGGUGCAUGGCCGUUGUUGGUUGGUGGAGUGAUCUGUCUGGUUAAUUCCGAUAACGAACGAGACUCAGGCCUACUUACUAGUUGUUCGAUUGCUGGUCGAUCAACUUCUUAGAGGGAUCAGUGUUUAAAACACUUGAAAAUGAGCAAUAACAGGUCUGUGAUUGCCCUUAGACGUUCGGGGCUGCACGCGCGCUACAAUGGAGAAAGCAGUGGGUGUCUUGCUUGGCAAAGCAAGCUGAGCCUUAAAAUUUCUUCGUGACAGGGAUCGAGGCUUGUAAUUAUUCCUCGUGCACAAGGAAUUCCUAGUAAUCGCAGGUCAUUAGCCUGCAAUGAUUACGUCCCUGCCCUUUGUACACACCGCCCGUCGCUACUACCGAUGAA
Molecule: ribosomal RNA, 1317 nt
Filed under: cf. Pseudicyema truncatum EM-2019
Lineage: Eukaryota; Metazoa; Dicyemida; Rhombozoa; Dicyemidae
Description: SSU rRNA
Rfam family: Eukaryotic small subunit ribosomal RNA
Source: RNAcentral